This 59-nucleotide microRNA precursor is filed under the name Taeniopygia guttata (zebra finch). Its description in RNAcentral is "Tgu-Mir-1451_pre stem-loop". The record is from RNAcentral. Lineage: Eukaryota; Metazoa; Chordata; Aves; Passeriformes; Estrildidae.
UCGCACAGGAGCAAAUUACCGCGUUCAGCUAAUCCGCAGUAACUUGCUCCUGUGAGAGG